This 323-nucleotide long non-coding RNA is filed under the name Gossypium raimondii (Peruvian cotton). RNAcentral's name for it is "long non-coding RNA (GRAI_LNC010018)". The record is from RNAcentral. Lineage: Eukaryota; Viridiplantae; Streptophyta; Magnoliopsida; Malvales; Malvaceae.
AAUUUUUAAAAAAUAUAUAUUAAAAUUUUAAAAAAUAAUAUUAUAGAACAUUUAAAAUAUACAUUAAAAUAUUAUAAAACCAAUAAUAAACAAAUAAAUAAAACAAAUAAAGGACAAAUAAGAAAAUACUAAAAAAGUAAAUAAAGAAAAACAAAAUAAUUGAAAAAGGACAAAGAAAUGAAAGAGAGAAUCAGAAAAAGCAACAAAUGAAAAAAAAUAAAAAAUUCAGGUUGUUUGAAUAGGCAACAUAAUAGGCUAGGGUGUUGGAAUCAGUGACAUCAAAUUAUUUGACUCCACCAAAAAAAGGUAAAAUUGCUUAAAGC